GGCGGCUGAACCAUGCACGAGCAUCCUUAACUAACGUAUGUAGUUGCUGCUUAUGCCAGAUGUCGUACAUAGUACCUGGUGUAGGAAAGGUGUUGAUCAAGUCGAGAGCUUCAUCAACGGGCACCUGUCCUUUGUUGAGUCGGAAGCGUGCGUGCAGAGUUUGCAUUGCACACAGCGCCCCCCACUUGAAGGCAGGGAACUCCUCGUGUCGAAAACGGAGCAUGGUGGGCCCCGACCACGAGGAGUCUGCAUUCUCCAUUUCGGUAUCACUGUACCUGUUGUAGUGAAAUGCAGUGCUACUGGCCCGUGAAGUAUGUCUCAGGCCGGCACUGCCCCGACCACGGUAUAAGACCGCGCUCCGAACGUGAGUAGAAUAUGAAUUCUAAACGAACCCACGUCCGUUCUGUGAGCAAAGACGAUUUCAGUAGAUUUAUGGAUUUCGGUAAGGCUGUCGUACAGAUUCAUGAUGUUCAGUUCCGGUGAAUUCUUACAAACGAUUCUUGACAGCCAGGUCAGUUUUCAGAAGAUUUCAUGAUCAUAAUUGAUUCGCAUAUUUCGUGAUAAGCUCAUCAUUCCUGUGUAGCUAUCGCGCUACAACAGCUGCCUCCUCCCCCCAGGAACCAGCGUCCUCGCUGUGUUCCGGGUGAGCUUUCCAGUAAUCGGUAAUCAGGUUUCGAUCGGAAAUAUCGGUAGAAUCAAGCCACGUAUUGUUCUCAUCAGUAUGUCCUUUCCAUUUGACCAGAAAUCGGUAUAAGGUUCGUUUUCUCAGUUUACGGGUUUCAUGCUUCAGAAUUCGUUCAAUCGUCCAGACAGGCUUGGAAGUGACAGGGUCAAGUUCCAAAGCUUUCGGAGGCUGAACAGGUCCAUCAGGGACGUCAGCACAGUAAGGUCGGAGUAAGGACACAUGAAACACAUCGUGGAAUCGGUAUUCAGGAGGCAAAUUCAAACGGAAAGUAACGGAAUUAAUCAUUUCAGUAAUCGGAAAAGGUCCAAUCCAACGAGGCAUCAGUUUUCGUGUACCUUUCUGUAUAGACAGAUUUUUCGUACUCAGUAAUACCUGUUGACCAGCAUGUAGGGUCACGGUACGUCGUUUCUUACUCUCCUGUUGUACAGCUCGGUCUUGCGCAGACUGAUAGAAUCGUUUCGCAAGAUUCAGUCGUUCAUGAAACGUAUCCACGUACACCUUAGCAGCGGGAACGGUAUCAGCAAGUUCCAACUGUAAAGGCGUUCGCGGGUGGAAGCCGUAAUUCAGAAAGAAAGGUGACUGACCCGUGGUUCGGUUUCGCAGAUUGUUAAUCGCGAAUUCAGCGGCAUCGAGAUAACGAUCCCAUUGUUCAGUGUCAGUCGAAACGUAUUGUCGUAACAUAUCUCCAAGGAUUCGGUUGAUUCGUUCGGUUUGUCCAUCGGUUUCAGGGUGAAAAGCGGUACUCGUGUUUUGUUUUGCACCAGCUCGAUUGAGCAAAGCCGGUAGAAACAAAUUCUUAAAUCUCGGGUCACGGUCGGAGAUAAUCUUUUGUGGCAUUCCAUGAAGUCUCACGACGUGAUGAAACAUCAUGUCAGCACAUUGUUCGGCGGUAGCGGUAGUACGGCAAGGAGCCAGAUGUACCAUUUUCGUUAAGCGAUCCACAAACACCAGAAUAGCAUCGUGCUGGCGUUUGGUUUUCGGAAGUCCCACAAUAAAGUCCAUGGAAAUACUUUCCCAAGGCAUAUCAGGGAUCGGUAGUGGAUGUAAUUCACCUGCCGGUAAACCAGAAGCCGGUUUGGUUCGGAGACAUACAUCACACUUCGCCACAAAAUCCGUGACAUCAGUUCGAAGAGUUGGCCACCAGAAACUUCGUUGAACCAAUUCAAUGGUCCGAUCGCGACCAGGAUGACCAGACAAACGAUCAGAGUGACUUCGUGAGAUAAUUUCGUGUUUCAGAAUCGGAUCAUUCGGUACGACGAUUCGGUGAUUCCCCUCCUCCUCCAAGACAAAGAACCCUCCUGGGUGUUCAUAAAAUUUUCGUGUAUGAUUCGGAUUCUGAAACCAGGCGUCCUUGCGGGUCGCUUCCGCAAUUCGGGACGAAAUCGGGAGGUCGGAAGAAGGAGUAACGGAAGGAACCGCACAGAGAAUCAUGGCCAGAUUCGGAUGUCGAGAAAGAGCAUCGGCAACAACGUUGAGUUUCCCAGGUCGGUAGACCCACUCAAACGUAAAUUGCUCGAGGAAUUCAACCCAGCGUGCCUGCCGUCGACUCAGAUGAGCUUGUGUUUUCAGAUACGUAAGCGGAUGGUGAUCGGUAACGAGGGUGAAAGGGAUGUUGCUUUGCAAGUAACAUCGCCACUCGCGUAAAGCAUUCACAACGCCCAACAGUUCUUGUUCACCGGUAGAGUAGUUGCGUUCGGCAGCGGAAAAUUUCUUACUCGUGAAAGCAAUCGGACGACCAUCUUGCAACAGUACGGCACCGGUUCCAUUGAGCGAUGCGUCGGAAACAAGCUCAAACGGUUUCGAGAAAUCCGGAUAAUUCAGUAAGACAUCGGUUGACAGGCAUUCUUUAAUGGAUUGAAACGCGGCCAGCGCCUGAGGUGGCCAUUCAUCCGGGAGGCGCGGUUUGCCAAAGAGGUCCGUAAGUGGCGCGGCCAAAGACGCAAAAUUUCGGAUAAAUCGUCGGAAAUAGUUCGCAAGGCCAACGAAGGCGCGCAGCUCACUUAGAUCCUUAGGUUGCGGCCAAUUUCGGAUCGUGUCCACCUUAUUCGGGUCCAUUCGGAUACCAGCAGAGCCUACGAUGUGACCAAGGUACUUGACUUCGGAUUUCCAGAAUUCACAUUUCGAAAGUUUCGCGUGCAGUUGGUGUUUUCUGAGCGUUUCAAGAACCAAACGCAAAUGCUCAGCAUGUUCCUCCGGAGUUUUCGAAAAGAUUAGAAUAUCAUCCAGAUAUACAGUUACAAAUCGGUGCAUAUACGGUGCGAAAAUCCGGUUCAUGGUUGCUUGAAACGUCGCAGGAGCAUUGGAAAGCCCAAAAGGCAACACCAACCACUCGAAAUGUCCCAACGGUGUAUUAAAAGCAGAUUUCGGGACGUCAUCCGGGUGAAUUCGGAGUUGAUGAUAACCAGAAGCCAAGUCGAGAGCGGAAAAGAUUCGUGCUCCCGCUAAUCGGUCUAACGUAUCGUCAAUUCGUGGUAACGGAUAUUUGUUCUUAAUCGUUAAUCGAUUCAAGGCUCGGUAGUCGAUACACAUACGGAGUGCACCGGUCUUCUUGGUCACAAAGAGGAUAGGCGCACCAAAAGGAGAUGUUGAGGGCUGAAUAAACCCUUUAUCCAGCAAGUCCUUGACCUGCUUUUCAACUUCUUCCUUUUCCAACGGUGUCAAACGGUACUGAGGACGGUAAAUCGGUUGUGCACCUGGCUCUAACGGUAUUGUAUGAUGUACCCCACGAUCAGGAGGUAGCCCGGAAAUCGGAGCAAACACAUCCGCAUAUUCAUGCAAGAUUGUUGCUAAAGUUCGGUUCGUUUCGAUUUCAGGUGGAAGUUCGAGAGAAUUGACCUGAGGAAUGGGGCUGGUCGGAGGAUGUGCGGUAGAUCGGUUAACGGUUCACGACAACCAGCAGCCCACGCGAGCCGGGCGACUCGAAAAGGUCUCUAAACGCGCGCUCCGCGGAUACCACAGACGUGCGAGCUGGCGCUCUUUCCAACAACAGAAAUUCAGGUUUCGGUGAUUCGGAAACAGAAGAAGACGGGGCGUGCAUCGCUCGCAACGUACAUCGCGCACCGUUUGGCCGUAGUAAACGCAGUUCGCUAUGCGCAGGCCUUAAUUGCGCAUCAUAACGGGUUAAGAAGUUCGUGCCAAGGAUCACAUCCGCCGAUACAGUCAAAGCCGGUAAAACGAGCAAACGGAUAUCGGUACCAAAACUACCAAGGCGCAAACGAGCUCGACACUCACCAAGAAUAGGUACGGUCGACUGGUCGGCCAGGCGCACUGGAGCAAGCGGUGUAGGCAAAAUCCGCAAGCCAAGUUUGGUAGCCAUGAGCUGGGAAACGAAGCAGUGCGUAGCGCCAGUGUCCGGAAGAACUCGUACGGCAUUAGCACCAAGGCGUCCAGCAAAUAAAUGCAACUGAUUAUCGGCUUCGGUUAUAGAACAUUUCGGCUCAAUCGGUUUUCCUUUAGGUGGAUCCCACCAAAUUUCAUAAGUGCUCGUUUCAGGCAGAGGAUCUGGACAACCAACCCGAUAUGAACGGUACAACUGAGUUCCGGACAGUAAAAUCAUAAGUCGUGUCAUGUCUUUCAGAUAGGGACGUAUUCUCUUCUGUUCAGUUGGAAUCAAAAUACAAGAGGAUAUGCUAGGAUCAUAACUCUUGCAACGGUGGUAAUGACGGAGGAAAUCGGAUAACAAUUUCGUGGGAGGAUUCAUCCAGAUAGUGUGGCCAGAGCAAUCGGAAUUGAGAAAGGAGCGAGUCGGAGAAGCAAACAUCUUACAAAUGGAAUUACUCCCAUCAUCGUUCGCAGCAGCGUCCAAAGAAAACGUUCGUCCAAUUCGACGCUCUAGUUGUCGCAACAACUCAUAAUCAAUAAUUCGGAAAUCAUGCGAAUUCAUGUCCCCAGUACGCGUGCCACACGAAAACGACUGGGCAAACUCCUAUCGGUUCUCUGGCCGGCGAAACAUCUCCGGUGUUACCAGCGGAUUCGGACAGCGCGAGCUGAUGUGGUCAUUCUGAAUGCCGCAACGGUAGCACUUCCCUUGCUGCAUCCAUUGGUACUUCUCCCAAUUCGUAAGGAAAGUACCUAAACGGAGAGGAUUCGGAGUUCGUGAUGGUUCGUUGGGCCUGUUCAGAGGUCGUGGAGGUACCAUUACAGGGGGUCCAGGGAUCGGAGGCAGUGGUCCAGCAGGCGCAACGGAACGCGCUGGCGGACGAACGGAGUUCAUGACGUUAGUCGCAGUUCCAGCCACCGCGGUAGGUUCGGUAGCCGGAGGUCGGUCCGCCCUGGCGCGCUUCGCAACGACAUCGCGCCACGGUUGCGGUUCGGUGUUUCGUUUGCCGGAGAGCUUCGAAGAAUCCUGUCGGGAGCCGUGGAAACGGUGCUUAGUUUUCGUGGAAGCGGCAGCAGCAUAGUGAAGAGCCGCGCGAGAUUGGCCCUGCCCGCGAGCUUGCAAUCUUCGUUCUUCAGUAAGCGCAAAUUGCACAAUUGUAUCAAGAUCGGUAAAUUCAGCACCACGAAGAUCAGCUCGGCAAAGCGGACGGAGUUCAGGAAUCAAUCCCAUAUAAAACAAUUUCGCAAGCGGUUUCUGAACGGUAAACUUAGCACGGCGAGCGACUUCACGAAAACGAACAGCAUAUUCAGCUAUCCCUUUUGAAGCAUCCAUUCGGAUCUCCCCUUUCAGUAAAGAUUCAAGUGAUUCAGUUUCCCUGUCGCGUACCUUCGGUUCGAAGUAAUCCAGGAAUGCGGUCAACAGCUCCGGUAAAACAAUCGGUUUGUUGGCAUUAUGCGACUCGGUUCGGUAUUCGGAAAGCCAGUCCAGAGCGCCAGGUGGGUAUUCGCGCAUCGCGUGACGCAGUUGCCACAAGGCGUCAUCGGUGUUGUUCGGUGUAUACUUGGCGACCCAGUCUUGAAAAUCGUUGGCGAACAUUUCAAGACUAUUGGACUUGCUCGGCUGCGGUGGUUCAAUUCGGAACGUGAAUCGGGGUUCGGUACGCGCAAGAUUCGUAGUAUCAGGACUCACCACCGGAACUGGUGCGGUUGACGGCCCAGCUCCAGAGUUCUUGAUUUUGGCGAGUUCGAUUUCAGCUUGGACUAAUUGGAGUUUCAGCUCCACCAAUUCGUGUUCGCCACGGGAUGGACCGGCGGAGCCGCCAGCAUCCCUAGUCGGUUCAGUGGUUCGUGGUGGAUUCGCUAGAGUCGGUGGAUUCGGAAGGUUCGGUGGGUUCAGCGGGUUCGGUGGGUUCGGUGGCGGUACAGCGACGUCAUCUACAUUCAUUGAGUCAGUAACCGUUGGCGGAUCCAUGGCGGAACGACAGGAAGUCGCGUUCAAAGCCGCCGACCUUGCACAGAAAGACGAAGUCCAGCAAGUAGGGCUUGUAACAGAACUUCGUUGGAAGUGCGCGGUGGUCCAGAGAACAUCCGCCUCAGAAGUCAAUGGUCAGCCGCCCUUCAGAGAGGGAGGCGGCUGAUACGCUAAAUUAAGCCAACUACUUAGAAAAUAGUAUAUUAAUAGCAAUGCGCUCCUGAGACACCAAAAGAUGUUGUAGUGAAAUGCAGUGCUACUGGCCCGUGAAGUAUGUCUCAGGCCGGCACUGCCCCGACCACGGUAUAAGACCGCGCUCCGAACGUGAGUAGAAUAUGAAUUCUAAACGAACCCACGUCCGUUCUGUGAGCAAAGACGAUUUCAGUAGAUUUAUGGAUUUCGGUAAGGCUGUCGUACAGAUUCAUGAUGUUCAGUUCCGGUGAAUUCUUACAAACGAUUCUUGACAGCCAGGUCAGUUUUCAGAAGAUUUCAUGAUCAUAAUUGAUUCGCAUAUUUCGUGAUAAGCUCAUCAUUCCUGUGUAGCUAUCGCGCUACAACAGUACCAAGGGCUGAUGGAAGGUGAAGACUGUACGGAUCCUCCUGAGGGUUUGCUUGGAAGCGGAAACUGCUGAGGUACCGAAGUUACUGCUGAGGAGGCUCGGCUGUGUAGCCGAAAAGUUGGUCCUAGCUCUAAAUCAGGCGAGUGGCUGUGUUCACUCU
RNAcentral lists this long non-coding RNA (6695 nucleotides) under Volvox carteri. RNAcentral describes it as "long non-coding RNA (VCAR_LNC001644)". Lineage: Eukaryota; Viridiplantae; Chlorophyta; Chlorophyceae; Chlamydomonadales; Volvocaceae. The record is from RNAcentral.